AACGAACGCUGGCGGCAGGCUUAACACAUGCAAGUCGAACGCCCCGCAAGGGGAGUGGCGCACGGGUGAGUACCGCGUGGCUAUCUGCCUUUUGGUUCGGAAUAACCCCGGGAAACUGGGGCUAAUACCGGAUGGUUCCUACGGGAUAAAGAUUUAUCGCCAAAAGAUGAGUCCGCGUACGAUUAGCUAGUUGGUGAGGUAAUGGCUCACCAAGGCGACGAUCGUUAGCUGGUCUGAGAGGACGAUCAGCCACACUGGGACUGAGACACGGCCCAGACUCCUACGGGAAGCAGCAGUGGGGAAUAUUGGACAAUGGGGGCAACCCUGAUCCAGCCAUGCCGCGUGAGUGAUGAAGGCCUUCGGGUUGUAAAGCUCUUUUGGCGGGGACGAUGAUGACGGUACCCGCAGAAUAAGCCCCGGCUAACUUCGUG
RNAcentral lists this ribosomal RNA (431 nucleotides) under uncultured bacterium. Its description in RNAcentral is "partial 16S ribosomal RNA". It matches the Rfam family "Bacterial small subunit ribosomal RNA", at positions 29 to 507 of the family's 1533-position model. The record is from RNAcentral.